Molecule: long non-coding RNA, 3208 nt
Organism: Syngnathoides biaculeatus (alligator pipefish)
Lineage: Eukaryota; Metazoa; Chordata; Actinopteri; Syngnathiformes; Syngnathidae
Exons: 4
Source: RefSeq, a predicted model, not a curated record
UGUAACGGGACAUGAAGCUCAACGAUCUGGCGGCGGACUAGUUGUCCCCCGUGUCCUAUAAGUAACGGGUGUUCUCAGCCCAAACCAGGGUGCAGGUGUGUGCCGACUAAUUGGCUGACCACACCCAGCCUGGGGAGGAUGCCAGGAGCAUGACACUAUACUGCCUCUCGAUUUUGAAAAUCUCAUAAGCAUCAUCAAUAACAAUUUCCAGUGAGUUUUCAUCCUGUCUCAAUAACAUUGGUCUUCAACUAUUUAUUUAAGGUGCAAUAUUUUACCAACCCAAAGUUUUAUUUUGAUCUUAAAGAGUAAAUGUGAAAUAUGAAUUAAAAUAGUCCAUGCAUUACUGAGCUCCAGAUGUUUGUCUGCCAAGAAGUCUGAAAUCAGCUAAUUCAAAUUGCUCCAGUUUGUAUACAAUCAUUAGCGAAGAUCUCUGCCUAAAUCUCCGCUCCCAAGCCAGCAGUGCCAACGUAACAAAUGUACACUUUCACAAGCUGAUAUUCGACUCAGAGGCAAUCAAUCAGAGGUAAGGUGACAGUCUUUCCCAAAUAUAGACAAAUCGGGUACAAACCUGGGUAAAACAGAAGUAGCUGUCAGACAGGCCUUUUCUGGACAAUGUUAUGACAAAACCAAGGUGUUUUUUUUAAAUCAAAUUUACACUUUGAUACCAAGUCCAUUCAUUGGAGGCGCUAAAUUGCCUCUAGGUGUGAUUGUGAGUGUGACUGUUCUCUGUCUAUAUGUGCCCUGUGAUUGGCUGGCAACAAGUUCAGGGUAUAACCCUCCCUCGCCUCAAUGACAGCUGGAAUUGGCUCCAGCACUCCCGCGACCCUCGUGAGGAUAAGCGGGUCAGAAAAUAGGAGAGACUUCAGUGAACUGAGUUCCCGAAAUGGUGGACUGAGGAACUGAAGAGCGAUUCACUCUGGGCAGGCGCUUAAGCAAACUGAGUGAUUCUGUCACUGAACUGGUGUACUGAGGAACUCCAGAGUGAGUCAUUUGUUUCUGAUUCGCUUUCGUUUGCCACACAAACGACGUACUACGCAGUGAGCAUACUCAUGAGUGUCAGUGAUGAUGAAGAAGACAUGCUUCUUUUUGUCUUGGUCCCCAUUCUAUUUGUCACCUCCUUCAGGUUCCCAUACCCUCCUGCUCUUUCAGAACUUCAUCCUCAAAACGCCUUCACUGUCCAAUCUGUCCACCGUGGGGAACAGAGUCUGCAAACGCUCUACUGCCCCCCAACUGCCACCCCACCCAUCUUUGGAACUUACUAAGGCCUGAUCUCUGAAAAAGACUUGUUAACUCUCUUCAAAUUGAAGAUGACUGCAUAUCUAUUCUGAACUGCUCAUUCCCUUUAACGUUUCCCAUAUCAUUUGCUAUUUUAAAUUUCAUCUUCUGUUAUUUUUAUUGUAAUGGUUGAUUUAUUUCUGUGACAAAGGUGCCCGUGAAUAAAGUGAUUUUUUUCUUAAUACACACAAUUCACAUGUAUUCUUGUAUUCGCUUACUGUCUUUCCAUCAUCUGAAGUGAAUAGUCCAAUUUUGGUUCAAGGAUAUUGUAGUAAUAUUAUCUAUUUGUAGUAAUUUCAGGAAAUGUUAUUCUCAUGUUUAGAAAUAUAUAUAAUAAUUAGUGGUUAAAUAACAGAUUGAAGGGCAACACAUUGGCGUAGCUGUAAAGCAUUGGCCUCACAGUUCUGAGGACCAGAGUUAAAUCCCGGCCCUGCCUGUGUGGAGUUUGCAUGUUCUCCCAUACCUGUGUGGGUUUUCUCCGGGUACUCCAGUUUCCUUCCAGAUCGCAAAAACAUGUCCUGCGCUUGGCUGGCAACCAGUUCAGGGUGUACCCCGCCUCCUACCCGAUGAGAGCUGGGAUAGACUCCAGCACUCCCACGACCCUUGUGAGGAUAACCAGCAAAGAAAAUGGAUGGAUGCAUGGAUGGAUGGAUCGAUGGAUCACAGAUUAAAGUCAAGGAUUUCUGCCAACUUGAUGGAGGCGGUUGACUACAGGUGGAGAGAGUUGGAGGAAGUUGGGAAUCAAUCACUUUCAAAAUAUUUCAACUGAAAGGGUGGAAGUACAGGGCACUGAAAGGAGGAUGAGGCUACUUUCAAGGUUCCAUCGAGCUUUAGAAGGGCAAUCCGGUUACCUCCUUCGUGAGAUAGACGCUCUCAGGAGUCAUCCAGUAGUCUUGAGACAGAAUUCACCAAACUUUGGAUUGUUAGCCCGCUGAAAAGGAAGGUCAUGAGUGCCUGUAGUUAACAGGAACUUGAAGGUUUUGACGAUUGACAUUGGGCAGCUGGUUGGCGUCAGGGGCGCUGUGGAGAAGGUGGCUCCCUGAAGUCCACGAUAAUCUCUCCAUUCUUGAGGGUGUUCAGCUCCAGGUUGUGUUGCCUGCAACAAGGCACCAGCUGCUCCACUUCCUGUCGAUGCACAGACUCAUCACAAUCGUCACAAAGACAAAAUACGAAAAAAGCACUGAGCCAUAAGCCGCUGCAUCCGUGCAAGCCGCCACCACUAUUUCAUCUGUAGUUCUAUUCUAAAUUGUACACAUAAUGAAAUAUUGUUGAACACAUGGCAAUGUCAAUAAAGUUGGGAAAUUGUGUAGAUGGUAAAUGAAAACAAAAUACAAUCAUUUACAAAUCGUUUUCAAUGUUGUAUAACAACAAAGGUGGCAUAAUCAACUAUUUUGGGAAAAUAUUGACUUGUUUUGAAUGUGAUGGCUGAUACACAUUCAAAAAAAGCCAGGACAGGAUCAUGUUUACCACUGUAUUACAUCACCUUUCCUUUUUAACAACACUCAAGAAGUGUUUGGGAACUGAGGACACUCAUUGUUGAAGCUUUGUAGGAAGAAUUAUUUUCCAUUCUUGGUUGAUGUACAACUUCAGUUGCUCAACACUCUGAGGUCUCCAUUGUUGUAUUUUGUGCUUCAUAAUGCGCCAACAAAUUCAGUGAGAGACAGGCCUGGACUGCUGGCAGGCCAUUCUAGUAUUCGUACUCGUUCACUGUGAAGGCAAACUGUUCUUUCAGAGAUGUUCCUUUAAUACCUAAUCAUGACACUGACCUGUUUCCAUUUCCUGGAACUUGUUCAACCCUAGAUGAUUCUAAAUGGUGCUUUUGAAUAUUCAUGACAGUAUUUAUUUAAUUAUUUUUUUAUUUAUUUGCUUGCUUUUCUGUUUAUCUAUUUAGUUAUUUUAUGUUUGUUUAUUUGUUCAUUUAUUUGAUUGUUCA